RNAcentral lists this transfer RNA (72 nucleotides) under Agrilus planipennis (emerald ash borer). It matches the Rfam family "tRNA". Rfam says of the family: Transfer RNA (tRNA) molecules are approximately 80 nucleotides in length. Their secondary structure includes four short double-helical elements and three loops (D, anti-codon, and T loops). The record is from Rfam by way of RNAcentral. Lineage: Eukaryota; Metazoa; Arthropoda; Insecta; Coleoptera; Buprestidae.
CCUCUCGUAGUUUAAUGGUCAGAACAUAAAGCGUAAAGCCAAAGGUCCCGGGUUCGAUUCCCGGCGGGAGUG